GUCGAGUCGGCCUGCGCGGAAGAUGUAACGGGGCUAAGUAGUAAACCGAAGCUGCGGCAAUAUACUUUUGUAUAUUGGGUAGGGGAGCGUUCUGUAAGCGGUUGAAGGUGUGUGGUAACGCAUGCUGGACGUAUCAGAAGUGCGAAUGCUGACAUGAGUAACGAUAAAGGGGGUGAAAAACCUCCUCGCCGGAAGACCAAGGGUUCCUGUCCAACGUUAAUCGGGGCAGGGUAAGUCGACCCCUAAGGCGAGGCCGAAAGGCGUAGUCGAUGGGAAACGGGUUAAUAUUCCCGUACUUCUUACAAUUGCGAUGGGGGGACGGAGAAGGCUAGGUGGGCCUGGCGACGGUUGUCCAGGUUCAAGUGCGUAGGCUUGAGAGUUAGGUAAAUCCGGCUCUCUUUAAGGCUGAGACACGACGUCGAGCACCUACGGGUGUGAAGUCAUUGAUGCCAUGCUUCCAGGAAAAGCCUCUAAGCUUCAGAUUGUAAGGAAUCGUACCCCAAACCGACACAGGUGGUCGGGUAGAGAAUACCAAGGCGCUUGA
Molecule: ribosomal RNA, 544 nt
Filed under: Vibrio parahaemolyticus
Lineage: Bacteria; Pseudomonadati; Pseudomonadota; Gammaproteobacteria; Vibrionales; Vibrionaceae
Description: partial 23S ribosomal RNA
Rfam family: Bacterial large subunit ribosomal RNA
Source: RNAcentral